UACGUAGGGGGCUAGCGUUGCUCGGAAUGACUGGGCGUAAAGCGUGCGCAGGCGGUUAUGCAAGACAGAUGUGAAAUCCCCGGGCUCAACCUGGGAACUGCAUUUGUGACUGCAUGGCUAGAGUACGGUAGAGGGGGAUGGAAUUCCGCGUGUAGCAGUGAAAUGCGUAGAUAUGCGGAGGAACACCGAUGGCGAAGGCAAUCCCCUGGACCUGUACUGACGCUCAUGCACGAAAGCGUGGGGAGCAAACAGG
This 253-nucleotide ribosomal RNA is filed under the name uncultured bacterium. Its description in RNAcentral is "partial 16S ribosomal RNA". It matches the Rfam family "Bacterial small subunit ribosomal RNA", at positions 524 to 776 of the family's 1533-position model. The record is from RNAcentral.